UGUAAGUCGAACGGGACUCGGGGGGCAACUCUCGAGUUCAGUGGCAGACGGGUGCGUAACACGUGAGAAACUUGUCCAUCGGUGGGGGAUAGCCGGCCCAACGGCCGGUUAAUACCGCGUACGAUCGUUUAGGGGCAUCCCUGAACGAUGAAAGCAUCGCAAGAUGCGCCGGCGGAGAGUCUCGCGGCCUAUCAGCUAGUUGGCGGGGUAACGGCCCACCAAGGCGACGACGGGUAGCUGGUCUGAGAGGAUGGCCAGCCACAUUGGGACUGAGACACGGCCCAGACUCCUACGGGAGGCAGCAGUGGGGAAUCUUGCGCAAUGGCCGCAAGGCUGACGCAGCGACGCCGCGUGUGGGAUGACGGCCUUCGGGUUGUAAACCACUGUCGGGAGGAACGAAUACGCGCUUCGUGCGCGGGUGACGGUACCUCCAAAGGAAGCACCGGCUAACUCCGUGCCAGCAGCCGCGGUAAUACGGAGGGUGCGAGCGUUGUCCGGAAUCACUGGGCGUAAAGGGCGCGUAGGUGG
RNAcentral lists this ribosomal RNA (528 nucleotides) under uncultured soil bacterium. RNAcentral's name for it is "bacterial SSU rRNA". It matches the Rfam family "Bacterial small subunit ribosomal RNA", at positions 56 to 578 of the family's 1533-position model. The record is from RNAcentral.